AUGAUUCUGGACAUGACCAAGAAGGCCUCUGUGGAAUGCAACUUCUGCCAUGGUGUUUACAUUGGUGGUAUUACUCGAAUGAAGUACCACCUUGCAAAUGUCAAGUAUCAAAAUGUCGUUUUGUGCCAACAAGUUCCAGCUGAUGUGAAGCAAGAGAUGAGGGAGCUGAUCUCAAGGAAAGAUGAAGCAAAGGAAAAGAAGGCCAGGGAAUCAACAAUACACAGAAGUGACGUCAAUUUGGAUGGAAAUGAUGCUAGGGAUGCUGAUGAAGAUGACAUCUUGGGUGGUGGUAGUGGGGGUGGUUUGCUCGUAUUAUCAGGGAAACGACAGAGUAAGGGCAACACAUAUGGUUCUAUGGAUAAGUUUUGCACCAAGUCAACAGAAGAGGUUGUGGCCGCAAGGAAGGGGGAAGACUUUUCUACAAAGUUGCAAACUAAGUUGUCCACUCAAAGAAGGGAAAAGAGGCGGGUUCGUGCUCGUGAGUAUGUUUGUCAGUUCUUCUAUGAAGCCGGAAUUGCCCACAAUGCAGUCUUGCUUCCAAGCUUUGAACUUAUGCUUGAAGCGGUUGGAGCGUUCGGGACAGACAUGAAAGGCCCCACUCCUUAUGAAAUGGGUGGCCCUUACUUACAGAAGAGCAAGAAGAAAGUCGAGGAAGGAUUUGCUGGACAUAAAGAAGCAUGGAAGCUCAGUGGAUGUACUGUCAUGACAGAUGCAUGGACAGACAAAAGAGGAAGGGGAGUGAUGAAUUUGGUAGUUCAUAGUGCCUAUGGUGUUGUUUUUGUUGAUUCUGUGGACUAUUCAGAUGUGAGAAAAGAUGGCAAGAUGAUAUUUGAUCUUGUUGAUAGAUGCAUAGAAGAAAUUGGGGAGAAGAAUGUCGUUCAAAUUGUAAUGGAUAAUGCCUCAGUCAAUAUAGCAGCAGCAGCAAUGAUGAAAGUGAAGCGUCCCUCCCUAUUUUGGAAUGGUUGUGCAGCCCACACAAUUGAUUUGAUGUUGGAGGACAUAGGGAAGCUUCCUAUAAUCGAACAAACCAUUGCCAAAGGAAAGGCUGUGACUGUGUUCCUUUAUGCGCAUACAAGAGUUUUGGCAUUGAUGAGAAAAUUUCUUGGAAAAGACCUAGUCCGCUCUGGUAUUACUAGGUUUGCAACAGCAUAUUUGAACUUGAAGAGCUUGCAGGACAACAAAAAAGAGCUACAAAAGUUGUUCAGGUCCGAUGAACUCAAUGAAAUGGACCACCUAAAAAAGGCAAAGGGGAAGAACGUAGCUAAAAUCGUUCGCUCUGAAACUUUCUGGAAAGCAGUAGAUACCGCUGUCAAUUUCUUUGAGCCAAUGGCAAAUCUUUUGAGGAGGAUGGAUAGCGAUGUUCCGGCAAUGGGUUUUAUUCAUGGUUGUAUGUUGGAUGCAAAGAAAGAGAUCUCCGUGAGGUUUGACAAUGACAAGUCUCGCUUUCUGGAAGUGUGGGACAUCAUUGACAAGAGAUGGGACAACAAGUUGAAGACUGCAUUACAUAUGGCUGGAUACUACUUGAACCCAUACUAUUAUUAUCCAAACAAGCUUGAUAUUGAGAUCGAUGGUAGUUUCAAAGAAGGGCUGAUAACUUGUAUUUCAAAGAUGGUUGAAGAUCCUAUCAUGCAAGAAGAAAUAAUCGAUGAGAUUGACCACUAUCAAGAGGGGAUAUGGUCUUUUGGAAGGGACAUUGCUGUACGGCAAAGGAAAAACAAGAAGUUUGAUCCAGCUAAAUGGUGGAUGAACCAU
This 1752-nucleotide ribosomal RNA is filed under the name Triticum aestivum (bread wheat). RNAcentral describes it as "partial small subunit ribosomal RNA". The record is from RNAcentral. Lineage: Eukaryota; Viridiplantae; Streptophyta; Magnoliopsida; Poales; Poaceae.